Molecule: long non-coding RNA, 246 nt
Filed under: Elaeis guineensis (African oil palm)
Lineage: Eukaryota; Viridiplantae; Streptophyta; Magnoliopsida; Arecales; Arecaceae
Description: long non-coding RNA (EGUI_LNC008005)
Source: RNAcentral
CUGCUGAAACUGAUGAGAUUGCUGAAAAAACUGAUCCUGAAACUACUACUGCUGAUAGAUAGAAUGCCUGCCACUCUCUCAGCCAACAGUCUCAUCUCAUCCUCUCCCAAACUAAAAGAUGGCACAGUACGGUUCGAUGGAGAUACUCUAACUGAAGGUCCUAUCUCAAGCUCCAAUACAGGAUGAUCAACUGGACUCUGUCUGGGCACAGAUGAAGAUGGACCCUCCCCCUCGGCAUGCUUCUCC